Molecule: ribosomal RNA, 2773 nt
Filed under: Escherichia coli
Lineage: Bacteria; Pseudomonadati; Pseudomonadota; Gammaproteobacteria; Enterobacterales; Enterobacteriaceae
Description: bacterial LSU rRNA
Rfam family: Bacterial large subunit ribosomal RNA
Source: RNAcentral
AGCGUACACGGUGGAUGCCCUGGCAGUCAGAGGCGAUGAAGGACGUGCUAAUCUGCGAUAAGCGUCGGUGAGGUGAUAUGAACCGUUAUAACCGGCGAUUUCCGAAUGGGGAAACCCAGUGUGUUUCGACACACUAUCAUUAACUGAAUCCAUAGGUUAAUGAGGCGAACCGGGGGAACUGAAACAUCUAAGUACCCCGAGGAAAAGAAAUCAACCGAGAUUCCCCCAGUAGCGGCGAGCGAACGGGGAGGAGCCCAGAGCCUGAAUCAGUGUGUGUGUUAGUGGAAGCGUCUGGAAAGGCGUGCGAUACAGGGUGACAGCCCCGUACACAAAAAUGCACAUACUGUGAGCUCGAUGAGUAGGGCGGGACACGUGGUAUCCUGUCUGAAUAUGGGGGGACCAUCCUCCAAGGCUAAAUACUCCUGACUGACCGAUAGUGAACCAGUACCGUGAGGGAAAGGCGAAAAGAACCCCGGCGAGGGGAGUGAAAAAGAACCUGAAACCGUGUACGUACAAGCAGUGGGAGCCUCUUAAUGGGGUGACUGCGUACCUUUUGUAUAAUGGGUCAGCGACUUAUAUUCUGUAGCAAGGUUAACCGAAUAGGGGAGCCGAAGGGAAACCGAGUCUUAACUGGGCGUUAAGUUGCAGGGUAUAGACCCGAAACCCGGUGAUCUAGCCAUGGGCAGGUUGAAGGUUGGGUAACACUAACUGGAGGACCGAACCGACUAAUGUUGAAAAAUUAGCGGAUGACUUGUGGCUGGGGGUGAAAGGCCAAUCAAACCGGGAGAUAGCUGGUUCUCCCCGAAAGCUAUUUAGGUAGCGCCUCGUGAAUUCAUCUCCGGGGGUAGAGCACUGUUUCGGCAAGGGGGUCAUCCCGACUUACCAACCCGAUGCAAACUGCGAAUACCGGAGAAUGUUAUCACGGGAGACACACGGCGGGUGCUAACGUCCGUCGUGAAGAGGGAAACAACCCAGACCGCCAGCUAAGGUCCCAAAGUCAUGGUUAAGUGGGAAACGAUGUGGGAAGGCCCAGACAGCCAGGAUGUUGGCUUAGAAGCAGCCAUCAUUUAAAGAAAGCGUAAUAGCUCACUGGUCGAGUCGGCCUGCGCGGAAGAUGUAACGGGGCUAAACCAUGCACCGAAGCUGCGGCAGCGACACUAUGUGUUGUUGGGUAGGGGAGCGUUCUGUAAGCCUGUGAAGGUGUGCUGUGAGGCAUGCUGGAGGUAUCAGAAGUGCGAAUGCUGACAUAAGUAACGAUAAAGCGGGUGAAAAGCCCGCUCGCCGGAAGACCAAGGGUUCCUGUCCAACGUUAAUCGGGGCAGGGUGAGUCGACCCCUAAGGCGAGGCCGAAAGGCGUAGUCGAUGGGAAACAGGUUAAUAUUCCUGUACUUGGUGUUACUGCGAAGGGGGGACGGAGAAGGCUAUGUUGGCCGGGCGACGGUUGUCCCGGUUUAAGCGUGUAGGCUGGUUUUCCAGGCAAAUCCGGAAAACCAAGGCUGAGGCGUGAUGACGAGGCACUACGGUGCUGAAGCGACAAAUGCCCUGCUUCCAGGAAAAGCCUCUAAGCAUCAGGUAACAUCAAAUCGUACCCCAAACCGACACAGGUGGUCAGGUAGAGAAUACCAAGGCGCUUGAGAGAACUCGGGUGAAGGAACUAGGCAAAAUGGUGCCGUAACUUCGGGAGAAGGCACGCUGAUAUGUAGGUGAAGCGACUUGCUCGUGGAGCUGAAAUCAGUCGAAGAUACCAGCUGGCUGCAACUGUUUAUUAAAAACACAGCACUGUGCAAACACGAAAGUGGACGUAUACGGUGUGACGCCUGCCCGGUGCCGGAAGGUUAAUUGAUGGGGUUAGCGGUAACGCGAAGCUCUUGAUCGAAGCCCCGGUAAACGGCGGCCGUAACUAUAACGGUCCUAAGGUAGCGAAAUUCCUUGUCGGGUAAGUUCCGACCUGCACGAAUGGCGUAAUGAUGGCCAGGCUGUCUCCACCCGAGACUCAGUGAAAUUGAACUCGCUGUGAAGAUGCAGUGUACCCGCGGCAAGACGGAAAGACCCCGUGAACCUUUACUAUAGCUUGACACUGAACAUUGAGCCUUGAUGUGUAGGAUAGGUGGGAGGCUUUGAAGUGUGGACGCCAGUCUGCAUGGAGCCGACCUUGAAAUACCACCCUUUAAUGUUUGAUGUUCUAACGUUGGCCCGUAAUCCGGGUUGCGGACAGUGUCUGGUGGGUAGUUUGACUGGGGCGGUCUCCUCCUAAAGAGUAACGGAGGAGCACGAAGGUUGGCUAAUCCUGGUCGGACAUCAGGAGGUUAGUGCAAUGGCAUAAGCCAGCUUGACUGCGAGCGUGACGGCGCGAGCAGGUGCGAAAGCAGGUCAUAGUGAUCCGGUGGUUCUGAAUGGAAGGGCCAUCGCUCAACGGAUAAAAGGUACUCCGGGGAUAACAGGCUGAUACCGCCCAAGAGUUCAUAUCGACGGCGGUGUUUGGCACCUCGAUGUCGGCUCAUCACAUCCUGGGGCUGAAGUAGGUCCCAAGGGUAUGGCUGUUCGCCAUUUAAAGUGGUACGCGAGCUGGGUUUAGAACGUCGUGAGACAGUUCGGUCCCUAUCUGCCGUGGGCGCUGGAGAACUGAGGGGGGCUGCUCCUAGUACGAGAGGACCGGAGUGGACGCAUCACUGGUGUUCGGGUUGUCAUGCCAAUGGCACUGCCCGGUAGCUAAAUGCGGAAGAGAUAAGUGCUGAAAGCAUCUAAGCACGAAACUUGCCCCGAGAUGAGUUCU